GUCGGAUUAGCUAGUUGGUGGGGUAAUGGCCCACCAAGGCGACGAUCCGUAGCUGGUCUGAGAGGAUGAUCAGCCACACUGGGACUGAGACACGGCCCAGACUCCUACGGGAGGCAGCAGUGGGGAAUAUUGGACAAUGGGCGAAAGCCUGAUCCAGCCAUGCCGCGUGAGUGAUGAAGGCCCUAGGGUUGUAAAGCUCUUUCAGCGGGGAAGAUAAUGACGGUACCCGCAGAAGAAGCCCCGGCUAACUUCGUGCCAGCAGCCGCGGUAAUACGAAGGGGGCUAGCGUUGUUCGGAAUCACUGGGCGUAAAGCGCGUGUAGGCGGAUUGUUAAGUCGGGGGUGAAAUCCUGAGGCUCAACCUCAGAACUGCCUUCGAUACUGGCGAUCUUGAGUCCGGGAGAGGUGAGUGGAACUCCUAGUGUAGAGGUGAAAUUCGUAGAUAUUAGGAAGAACACCAGUGGCGAAGGCGGCUCACUGG
This 480-nucleotide ribosomal RNA is filed under the name uncultured Alphaproteobacteria bacterium. RNAcentral describes it as "bacterial SSU rRNA". It matches the Rfam family "Bacterial small subunit ribosomal RNA", at positions 235 to 732 of the family's 1533-position model. Lineage: Bacteria; Pseudomonadati; Pseudomonadota; Alphaproteobacteria. The record is from RNAcentral.